UACGAAGGGGGCUAGCGUUGUUCGGAAUCACUGGGCGUAAAGCGCACGCAGGCGGAUUGAUAAGUCAGGGGUGAAAUCCCGGAGCUCAACUUCGGAAUUGCCUUUGAUACUGUCUGUCUUGAGUACUUAAGAGGAUCGCGGAAUUCCCGGUGUAGAGGUGAAAUUCGUAGAUAUCGGGAGGAACACCAGUGGCGAAGGCGGCGAUCUGGGAAGAUACUGACGCUGAGGUGCGAAAGCGUGGGGAGCAAACAGG
RNAcentral lists this ribosomal RNA (253 nucleotides) under uncultured bacterium. Its description in RNAcentral is "partial 16S ribosomal RNA". It matches the Rfam family "Bacterial small subunit ribosomal RNA", at positions 524 to 776 of the family's 1533-position model. The record is from RNAcentral.